RNAcentral lists this ribosomal RNA (760 nucleotides) under Agromyces sp. RNAcentral describes it as "bacterial SSU rRNA". It matches the Rfam family "Bacterial small subunit ribosomal RNA", at positions 95 to 859 of the family's 1533-position model. The record is from RNAcentral. Lineage: Bacteria; Bacillati; Actinomycetota; Actinomycetes; Micrococcales; Microbacteriaceae.
GUGGCGAACGGGUGAGUAACACGUGAGUAACCUGCCCUGGACUCUGGGAUAACCCCGAGAAAUCGGAGCUAAUACCGGAUAUGACCUUUCACCGCAUGGUGGGGGGUGGAAAGUUUUUUCGGUCUGGGAUGGACUCGCGGCCUAUCAGCUUGUUGGUGAGGUAAUGGCUCACCAAGGCGUCGACGGGUAGCCGGCCUGAGAGGGUGACCGGCCACACUGGGACUGAGACACGGCCCAGACUCCUACGGGAGGCAGCAGUGGGGAAUAUUGCACAAUGGGCGAAAGCCUGAUGCAGCAACGCCGCGUGCGGGAUGACGGCCUUCGGGUUGUAAACCGCUUUUAGUAAGGAAGAAGGGGAGCUUGCUCCUUGACGGUACUUGCAGAAAAAGGACCGGCUAACUACGUGCCAGCAGCCGCGGUAAUACGUAGGGUCCGAGCGUUGUCCGGAAUUAUUGGGCGUAAAGAGCUCGUAGGCGGUUUGUCGCGUCUGCUGUGAAAUCUGGAGGCUCAACCUCCAGCCUGCAGUGGGUACGGGCAGACUUGAGUGGUGUAGGGGAGACUGGAAUUCCUGGUGUAGCGGUGGAAUGCGCAGAUAUCAGGAGGAACACCGAUGGCGAAGGCAGGUCUCUGGGCACUUACUGACGCUGAGGAGCGAAAGCGUGGGGAGCGAACAGGAUUAGAUACCCUGGUAGUCCACGCCGUAAACGUUGGGCGCUAGAUGUGGGGACCUUUCCACGGUUUCCGUGUCGUAGCUAACGCA